RNAcentral lists this ribosomal RNA (253 nucleotides) under uncultured bacterium. Its description in RNAcentral is "partial 16S ribosomal RNA". It matches the Rfam family "Bacterial small subunit ribosomal RNA", at positions 524 to 776 of the family's 1533-position model. The record is from RNAcentral.
UACGGAGGGUGCAAGCGUUAUCCGGAUUCACUGGGUUUAAAGGGUGCGUAGGUGGGAAUGUAAGUCAGUGGUGAAAUCUCCGUGCUUAAUAUGGAAACUGCCAUUGAUACUAUGUUUCUUGAAUCUUCCGGAGGUCAGCGGAAUAUGUCAUGUAGCGGUGAAAUGCUUAGAUAUGACAUAGAACACCAAUUGCGAAGGCAGCUGACUACAGGGGCAUUGGCACUGAGGCACGAAAGCGUGGGGAUCAAACAGG